GACGAACGCUGGCGGCGUGCUUAACACAUGCAAGUCGAACGAAGAGCGACGGAAGCUUGCUUCUAUCAAUCUUAGUGGCGAACGGGUGAGUAACGCGUAAUCAACCUGCCCUUCAGAGGGGGACAACAGUUGGAAACGACUGCUAAUACCGCAUACGAUCUAAUCUCGGCAUCGAGGAUGGAUGAAAGGUGGCCUCUACAUGUAAGCUAUCACUGAAGGAGGGGAUUGCGUCUGAUUAGCUAGCUGGAGGGGUAACGGCCCACCAAGGCGAUGAUCAGUAGCCGGUCUGAGAGGAUGAACGGCCACAUUGGGACUGAGACACGGCCCAGACUCCUACGGGAGGCAGCAGUGGGGAAUCUUCCGCAAUAGACGAAAGUCUGACGGAGCAACGCCGCGUGAGUGAUGACGGCCUUCGGGUUGUAAAGCUCUGUUAAUCGGGACGAAAGGCCUUCUUGCGAAUAGUGAGAAGGAUUGACGGUACCGGAAUAGAAAGCCACGGCUAACUACGUG
Molecule: ribosomal RNA, 510 nt
Filed under: uncultured bacterium
Lineage: Bacteria
Description: partial 16S ribosomal RNA
Rfam family: Bacterial small subunit ribosomal RNA
Source: RNAcentral